Molecule: long non-coding RNA, 2538 nt
Filed under: Trifolium pratense (red clover)
Lineage: Eukaryota; Viridiplantae; Streptophyta; Magnoliopsida; Fabales; Fabaceae
Description: long non-coding RNA (TPRA_LNC001547)
Source: RNAcentral
GAAGCCCAAAGAAUAAGAAUUAUGUUAAAACUAGUUUAAGUAAACAUGGGAUUAACCUAGUUUUCUAACUUAGAAAGAAAAUCAGAAAAAUUGAGGUAGAGAAGAGGUAGAGGCAGCCGCCCAUAGGAAGGAGAAGAAAGGAUUUCAGCAUCUAGGAUCAAAGAAAGAAUUCAUCAAAACUUAAGGUUAGGGGAAGACUAAUACUUCGUAAUUGGUUGGAUUAGAUUUUAAGUUCUUAUGUUUCUCUAUUUCUUUCAUUUUGAUUUCUGUCCCGUACCUUUUAAUUUUGUUACUAUGAGGUUAUUCUAUUUUCAUUCUACCCUUUUGAAUUAGCAUAAGCCAUUCUUGAAUUUCUGGACUUAUGUUUAGUAAUUGGGUGAAUUAGAAUAGAUUUAUGUUUUCUUUAAUUCCUUCCUUUUGAUUUCUGGUUUGUGAUUCUGAUUGGUGAUUUUGUACUUCGGAGUGCAAUUUCGUUUUGUCUUGAUCUGUUAUAAUUUGUGAUUUUACAUCCUGCAACUUUGCUUUGAAAUAUUGGUUUAUGCAUUUAUGUUGAGUGUGUAUAUUUUGGAUUGAAAAGUGGAAAGAAAAUCAGAGUUUCUAAUUAGAGAUUAAAACAAUAAACUAGGUGUUCUUCAAUCACAAAAUUAAUUCCUAAUUGAAUAGUAAUCAUAGGAAAUUAACAUUGGAAUAAUUUGGAACUGUUUUGGAGUUGUUUGGGAACUUAAAAACCAAGCUUUAAUAUCACUUUUUAUAUGGCUGAGGUCUGCUUGUCCCAUCGUUAGUACAGAAGGGAAAUACAAGAUUAACUAAGGAUAAUAAAGUUAGCUCGGAAGCGGAUUGUUCUCGCCCAGGUCUGAUUUUAGUACUUGUCUGCUACCAAAUUAGUUUUAGGACCAUAGUCUAACCUGGUGUGCAUUGUUCCGAUAGGCUGGUUUUGAUAAUUGUUAAGUAGCAACCUGGUAUGUAUGUCCCAAGCUAUGAAACCUUGUAUAGUUUAUAUCCCCUGAAGCAUGGCUUGUGCUGGGGAAUAAAGCAAAGUCUUCAAUUAUAUCAUUUAUUUUAUUAACGUAAAUUUGUUUACAUUUAGAACCAAAGUAGUUAACACAAUUAAGUACUUGUGAUCGAUCACCGAAUCCCUUUUUUUUUUUUCUGAGUCUGUCAAUACUGUUAACUGCUUUUCUGUCCAGCAGUGGUUUGGAGUAGUCCACUAGGCUUUUCGGACGCGGUUUCGUCGUUGGUUAGCUUCUGGUCAGUACCUUAGCUUAGUAGAAUUAACUUGAGCAAUUAACAACCUGAGAGUUAGGAUUUGUGAAGGGUUUUGAGUAACUUGUUCAUUAGGAAAAUGGGUAUUUUGAUAAAAUAAUAAUGGUCAAAUUGAUAGUGUUUGUCAAAGAGAUUUUAUUUAGUUUGAUCCUGUACCAUUAGUUGCUAAUCAAAGAGAUUAUACGUAGUGUUUGUCAAAAUAAAAGCAAAUGAGGGAAGAAAAAUAUUAGGUCGUGAUUAAACUGCAACUCUAAGCUUAGCAGCAAUGGCAUCAAAGUCAAAUGUCAUAUAAAUGGCAUUGAAUUCAUUAACCAAGAAUUCUCAGCAGUGGUCAUUGAUCCAGCAGUGGUCAUUGAUCGUUAAUGGCAUUGGAUUUUCACACUUUCACAAGUGGGAAUAAAAGUGAGGAGAAUAUGAGAAUUCCUAGAUCACUUUUCCUAUAAAAGCAGUAGGUAAGUGAUUAGUAAUUAACUUCUGUACGUCUUUUGGGUGGUAGAGAGGAUUAUAACCUUUUGGUUUUCGAAACUUUGGAAUUGAGAAUUUCUGAGCUUUGAAAAUUUUGAUUUGAGAAUUGUUGUCAUUUUGAUUUUUUUUGUUGUCGCGUUGAUUUUGUUUGACAAUUUGGAAACUUGUCUUUGGUGUAAAUAUGACCAUGCAUUCAUCCAUGUGUGAAGUCAUUUGUUGUUGUGCAGUGGAAGUCUGGUGUGUUUUACUCGGCUUUCAAAUUUGUUGUCGUGCAGAGGAAUGACCGAUACAAUUUAUCUCGGCUUCCGAAUUUGUUGUCGUGCAGAGGAGUGUACAAUUAUGACCUCCGACCCUAGUACCAUGUGUAUUAGGGAGUUUUGAAUUUUUAUGACAUAACAUACAUUUGAGAAUUGAUUUGAUUUGAUUUUAAAGUUUAAUUACUUUGCUUGUAUUCAUCUCAGUUAUUGAAUAUUAGUGCUUACCCUGUUACGUUUUAUUUGUUGGCUUGGCCUUACGAUGUGCAAUCAUAGAUUUUCAGGUAUAGGGUGAACCUUAAAUUUCGCGGUGAAAUCCUUUACUCAUACUUGAGGUUGGCAUGUAGACGUCUCUUCUGAUACUAGUAACAUGAGAGAAAAUUCAUCUAGUUUUAUUUUCAACUUCUUUUAUUUCAUAAAUACCUCAUUUGGGAAACUUUGAUGUAUUAUUUUCAUCCAAACAACACUUGAUUCUAUUUCUAAAAUUAUUCGGACAUUAUUAAGAGUUUCUCAGUUUAAUCAGAGUUUGUAUUUCAGACAAUUUUAUCCAUUCCGC